Molecule: ribosomal RNA, 425 nt
Filed under: uncultured bacterium
Lineage: Bacteria
Description: bacterial SSU rRNA
Rfam family: Bacterial small subunit ribosomal RNA
Source: RNAcentral
GGGGAAUAUUGCACAAUGGGCGCAAGCCUGAUGCAGCCAUGCCGCGUGUAUGAAGAAGGCCUUCGGGUUGUAAAGUACUUUCAGCGGGGAGGAAGGCGAUAAGGUUAAUAACCUUGUCGAUUGACGUUACCCGCAGAAGAAGCACCGGCUAACUCCGUGCCAGCAGCCGCGGUAAUACGGAGGGUGCAAGCGUUAAUCGGAAUUACUGGGCGUAAAGCGCACGCAGGCGGUCGGUCAAGUCGGAUGUGAAAUCCCCGGGCUCAACCUGGGAACUGCAUUCGAAACUGGCAGGCUGGAGUCUUGUAGAGGGGGGUAGAAUUCCAGGUGUAGCGGUGAAAUGCGUAGAGAUCUGGAGGAAUACCGGUGGCGAAGGCGGCCCCCUGGACAAAGACUGACGCUCAGGGGCGAAAGCGUGGGGAGCAAAC